This 358-nucleotide ribosomal RNA is filed under the name uncultured bacterium. RNAcentral describes it as "bacterial SSU rRNA". It matches the Rfam family "Bacterial small subunit ribosomal RNA", at positions 29 to 416 of the family's 1533-position model. The record is from RNAcentral.
AACGAACGCUGGCGGCAGGCCUAACACAUGCAAGUCGAACGCCCUAGCAAUAGGGAGUGGCAGACGGGUGAGUAACGCGUGGGAACCUUCCCUGUGGUGCGGAAUAACUCGCCGAAAGGCGUGCUAAUACCGCAUAAGCCCGAAAGGGGAAAGAUUUAUCGCCAUAGGAUGGGCCCGCGUAGGAUUAGCUAGUUGGUGAGGUAAUGGCUCACCAAGGCGACGAUCCUUAGCUGGUGAGAGAAUGACCAGCCACACUGGGACUGAGACACGGCCCAGACUCCUACGGGAGGCAGCAGUGGGGAAUCUUGGACAAUGGGCGCAAGCCUGAUCCAGCCAUGCCGCGUGAGUGACGAAGGCC